This is a long non-coding RNA of Helianthus annuus (common sunflower), 342 nucleotides long. RefSeq lists it as uncharacterized. The transcript has 3 exons. The record is from RefSeq and is a predicted model, not a curated record. Lineage: Eukaryota; Viridiplantae; Streptophyta; Magnoliopsida; Asterales; Asteraceae.
GUUUUUGGCUGCAACUAUGUUGGACAGAGAUAUGUUUGCUAUGGCUGGAAAUUGGUACCAUGUCGGUUGGUUUUGCUUGGCAAGAUUUGUGACGAUGCGUCGGACAAACAACAUUGGAAUAAGAUACAGCCUUGAGCCUUGGCAAGUUAACACAUUAGUUAGGGUUAUGAAGUUUUUCAUGGCACCGACACAUUAUUGAGCAGUAGCGCAUCAGAUGACCAGUGUAUAUCUCUACUUGAGGAAUUCUCCAAAGAUCCAGAGCCGAUUGUUUCAUAGAGUUGUGAAGUUGCUCUAAACAUACUGGAUUUUGAACGAUCCGGCAAACCAUUCGAGGUACUUGGA